AUGUAUUACCGCAGAAAAAGAAAGCCUUCCGACCCCAUCAAUAAUCUUUCACUUACUGCAAAUACGAUUUGCAGUUGGGGAUGUGGCAGUGUUACCGAGGAGUGGGAUAGCUUGUAUGCUCAAAAGGUCCAAUUGUUCACUUUCCUUUCUACUCUGCCCGAGCCCGCUCUGAGUUAUGGGCCGAGUGUUGAAACUAAUAUGGACAAUUCUAUCGAGCAAAGAGAACAGAAAAAGAGUGACAUAAUAGUUCUUGAUUGGGAUGAUGAUGAUGAAAGCACAGGAGCACACAAACAACUGACGCCUGAGAAAAAUAAACAGCUGAUACCAUCAGAACAGGCUGGUGCUCUCAUGAGAGUGGAAGAUGAGCCUAUGGGGGAAGAUGAGCCUAUGGAGGAAGAACAUAUAAAAGAGAAGGAAAGUGAUGGUCUUGAAGAUUUUUGGAAUGAGCACUCAGUGACACUUGAAAGCUCUAAGCUCGACACACUUGAAGAGGCAGCCAAUGAGAAAGAGGUGAACAACGUCUGCAAUCAUGAAAUACAAAUUCAUGAAGAUCUGGGCCAUGUAUGCCGUAUGAUUGUGAGAAGGCCUGACACAAUCAUUGAUUAUCAGUGGAGAAAGAGCCUGACGCUAGACCUCGUGGGUUGUUAUUUGGUUAUUCCUGUAUUUCGAGCAUGA
This 675-nucleotide ribosomal RNA is filed under the name Triticum aestivum (bread wheat). RNAcentral describes it as "partial small subunit ribosomal RNA". Lineage: Eukaryota; Viridiplantae; Streptophyta; Magnoliopsida; Poales; Poaceae. The record is from RNAcentral.